UACGAAGGGGGCUAGCGUUGCUCGGAGUCACUGGGCGUAAAGCGCGGGCAGGCGGUUCUGCCAGUCUGAUGUGAAAUCUCCUCGCUCAACGGGGAGCAGCCAUUGGAAACUACAGAACUGGAGUCUGGCAGAGGUAGGCGGAAUUCCGGGUGGAGUGGUGAAAUGCGUAGAUAUCGGGAAGAACACCAGUGGCGAAAGCGGCUCUCUGGGGACCACCUGACGCUGAGGCGCGAAAGCGUGGGGAGCGAACCGG
This 253-nucleotide ribosomal RNA is filed under the name uncultured bacterium. Its description in RNAcentral is "partial 16S ribosomal RNA". It matches the Rfam family "Bacterial small subunit ribosomal RNA", at positions 524 to 776 of the family's 1533-position model. The record is from RNAcentral.